This 496-nucleotide long non-coding RNA is filed under the name Anas platyrhynchos platyrhynchos (common mallard). Its description in RNAcentral is "lncRNA (ENSAPLG00000020253.1)". The record is from RNAcentral. Lineage: Eukaryota; Metazoa; Chordata; Aves; Anseriformes; Anatidae.
AUAAUGAUGUGAUCCCAUCAAGACAGAGUAAGGAAGCAGAGCAUGGUAGCAGCUGGGGGACAGGAGGUGACCAUCAAGUCCUCUGACUUCUCCUCAGUGCCUCUUGCUUUCCUGCAGAUAACUGCUGGCAAUGAUUCAGUCACUGACUUGAGCACUAGUGGAAACCUACUUGAUGUGUUAGAAGUUAAUUAUUUAUUCAUUUAAAUAUCCCAUAAUCAUCUGGCUGAAAGAAGAGACGGACUUGUCCUGAUCUGACACGAUUCGUCUCCAGAGGUCGUCUGUGUUCUGAGAGCCAGAAAACCUGCUGAGUGCUCAUGUGAACUCAGCCAGCUCAGAGCUAUGAACUAAUACUGAUACCAAAUAUUCUUUUAAAUCUAUCAGCUAACAAGAAAGUAAAAUUGCUUGUAAUUCAAAAGGAUGGCACUCCCUUUGCAAUUGUUUGCUCAACUAUUUUUUGACUGCUCUGCUCGAUGGACAAAUGCGCAAGGAGAUGGAA